This 253-nucleotide ribosomal RNA is filed under the name uncultured bacterium. Its description in RNAcentral is "partial 16S ribosomal RNA". It matches the Rfam family "Bacterial small subunit ribosomal RNA", at positions 524 to 776 of the family's 1533-position model. The record is from RNAcentral.
UACAGAGGUGGCAAGCGUUGUUCGGAAUUACUGGGCGUAAAGGGCGCGUAGGCGGUUCGUUAAGUCCUGUGUGAAAUCCCCCGGCUCAACUGGGGAACUGCACAGGAAACUAGCGGGCUUGAGUUCGGGAGAGGGAAGCGGAAUUCCGGGUGUAGCGGUGAAAUGCGUAGAUAUCAGGAGGAACACCGGUGGCGAAGGCGGGACUCUGGGCCGAUACUGACGCUGAGGAGCGAAAGCUAGGGGAGCAAACGGG